GGUGAGGUAAUGGCUCACCAAGGCGAUGAUAGGUAGGCGGCCUUAACGGGUGGUCGCCCACACUGGGAUUGAGAUACGGCCCAGACUCCUACGGGAGGCAGCAGUCGAGAAUAGUCUACAAUGGACGAAAGUCUGAUAGUGCGACGCCGCGUGAACGAAGACUCCCUAACAGGGUGUAAAGUUCUUUUAUAUGUGAGCAAUGGUUUAUAUAUUAAUAGUAUAUAUUCAGAGAUAUUAGCAUAUGAAUAAGCAACGGCUAACUCCGUGCCAGCAGCCGCGGUAACACGGGGGUUGUAAGCGUUGUCCGGAAUUACUAGGCGUAAAGGGCAGGUAGGCGGAUCAGUAAGUUUGAUGUCAAAUCCAUCGGCUCACCCGAUGACGGGCAUCAGAUACUGCUGAUCUGGAAUACGGUUGAGGAAGACAGAAUUCCUGGUGUAGCGGUGGAAUGCGCAGAGAUCAGGAGGAAUACCAAAUGCGAAGGCAGUCUUCUAGGCCGUUAUUGACGCUAAACUGCGAAGGUGUGGGGAUCAAACAGGAUUAGAUACCCUGGUAGUCCACACAGUAAACGAUAAUCACUAGGUGUCGGGUUUCAAAUAAGCUCGGU
This 604-nucleotide ribosomal RNA is filed under the name uncultured bacterium. RNAcentral describes it as "bacterial SSU rRNA". It matches the Rfam family "Bacterial small subunit ribosomal RNA", at positions 251 to 844 of the family's 1533-position model. The record is from RNAcentral.